GACGAACGCUGGCGGCGUGCCUAAUACAUGCAAGUAGGACGCAGUUGCGAACGGGUGAGUAACGCGUAGGUAACUACCUAUUAGAGGGGGAUAACUAUUGGAAACGAUAGCUAAUACCGCAUACUAGUAGAUGGACCUGCGUUGUAUUAGCUAGUAGGUAGGGGAAUGGCCUACCUAGGCAACGAUACAUAGACGACCGGAGAGGGGUAUCGGCCACAACGGGACAUGUACACGGGCCAGACUCCUACGGGAGGCAGGAGUAGGGAAUCGUCGGCAAUGGGGGGAACGCUGACCGAGCAACGCCGCGUGAGUGAAGAAGGUUUUCGGAUCGUAAAGCUCUGUUGUUAAGGAAGCGGUACUUAACCAGAAAGGGACGGCUAACUACGUGCCAGCAGCCGCGGUAAUAC
Molecule: ribosomal RNA, 407 nt
Filed under: uncultured bacterium
Lineage: Bacteria
Description: partial 16S ribosomal RNA
Rfam family: Bacterial small subunit ribosomal RNA
Source: RNAcentral